CCUACGGGCGGCAGCAGUGGGGAAUAUUGGGCAAUGGAGGCAACUCUGACCCAGCAACGCCGCGUGAAUGAUGAAGGUCUUCGGAUUGUAAAGUUCUGUGAUGGGGGAUGAACACAAUGACGGUACCCCAAUAGCAAGCCAGGGCAAACUACGUGCCAGCAGCCGGGGUAAUACGUAGGUGGCAAGCGUUAUCCGGAAUGACGGGGCGUAAGGGGCGCGUAGGGGGUUUAGUAAGUUGGCGGUGAAAUCCCGGGGCUCAACCUCGGAGCUACAGGCAAAACUGUUAGGCUUGAGUGCAGGAGAGGUAAGUGGAAUUCCUAGUGUAGCGGUGGAAUGCGUAGAUAUUAGGAGGAACAUCAGGGGCGAAGGCGACUUACUGGACUGUAACUGACACUGAGGCACGAAAGCGUGGGGAGCAAACAUGAUUAGAUACCCGGGUAGUC
Molecule: ribosomal RNA, 443 nt
Filed under: uncultured bacterium
Lineage: Bacteria
Description: partial 16S ribosomal RNA
Rfam family: Bacterial small subunit ribosomal RNA
Source: RNAcentral